CAGAGACCGGCUUCCUGCAUCCAGACUCGCUCUGAGAGAACGGGAUUCUAGUGCUUGACCUGCCACCGGGGGAGUAAAGUUGGGUAAAAACCCUUUCACUCUAUGAACAUUCCAUUGUUAUUUUUUGGUCUCACCAAAUCAAGAGGGAACUUGCCUGGGACUGAAAUCCACUGUUAAAACAAAGGGGAGUCGACUUUAGGAUGAAGUGGACACCACAGAAAGCAGAGAGACGAGACAGAAAGAUUCUAGACUUUUAUACCCUAAGGCCAGUCCUCGCUUGAAGAUUGACCUACCUUUGACCUUUUCAGAUAUCAAGCGAAAAAUUUCCAUCCUUUCCCAGUUUGAGAAACUGGAUCCUACACAUGUACUGAAGAAAACAACUGGUGAACAAGCCACAGAGCCUGUCUUCAAGGAGUCGUCCUUCACACAGAGCAUGCUUACCCUCAGAAAUAAUGAAAUUCGGACUUAAAUUACAUCUCCCCCCACCACCCCCACCAGGGGAAAAAAUCAACUGGAGGUGCCAACUGAAGGUAAGGGAAAUAGGAAAUCAGUGGCAAAGGAGGCAAGAUCAGUUACAGUUUAGAAUAAGUUGUUGAAAAUGAGAAAUGUAGUCUCUAUACAUCCUUAAGGUGUUUCCCUUUCCUCCUCUUUCUGUUCCGAAUAGGGAAUGUUUCCCAUUUUGUCCAUAGGUUGCAGAAUAUUGAGAAGGCGCUGGCAAGAAACUUGUGGGAAUGGCUGUGUCCUAGGGAUCAGGGUUCAGGGGACAGAGGCCUACAGCAUUACCCAGAACUUUCUCUUAUUUAUGGUCCUUACUCUGGGAGAAAGUUAUUUAAGCAUUCUAAGAAAUAGAAACUCUCUCUGUUGCUAAGUAUAGAGAUUAAUAUGAGCUAGAGCAGGAUACAGAAAGA
Long non-coding RNA from Manis pentadactyla (Chinese pangolin), 908 nucleotides. RefSeq lists it as uncharacterized. The record is from RefSeq and is a predicted model, not a curated record. Lineage: Eukaryota; Metazoa; Chordata; Mammalia; Pholidota; Manidae. The transcript is spliced from 3 exons.